RNAcentral lists this transfer RNA (71 nucleotides) under Candidatus Iainarchaeum sp. Its description in RNAcentral is "tRNA-Ala". It matches the Rfam family "tRNA". From Rfam's summary of the family: Transfer RNA (tRNA) molecules are approximately 80 nucleotides in length. Their secondary structure includes four short double-helical elements and three loops (D, anti-codon, and T loops). Further hydrogen bonds mediate the characteristic L-shaped molecular structure. tRNAs have two regions of fundamental functional importance: the anti-codon, which is responsible for specific mRNA codon recognition, and the 3' end, to which the tRNAs corresponding amino acid is attached (by aminoacyl-tRNA synthetases). tRNAs cope with the degeneracy of the genetic code in two manners: having more than one tRNA (with a specific anti-codon) for a particular amino acid; and 'wobble' base-pairing, i.e. permitting non-standard base-pairing at the 3rd anti-codon position. The record is from RNAcentral. Lineage: Archaea; Nanobdellati; Candidatus Iainarchaeota; Candidatus Iainarchaeia; Candidatus Iainarchaeales; Candidatus Iainarchaeaceae.
GGGCCCAUAGUCUAGCAGCAGGACGCGACCUUCGCAAGGUUGUAACGCGGGUGCGAUUCCCGCUGGGUCCA